CUUAGAAGUUUUUAAACGUUGACUAAAACAGGUUAAAAUUGUUAGAAAAAUUUCGCAAAGUAAAAUUAUUACUUGGCUGCUUCCCGUUAGAACAUGAAUCAAUAUCUCUACACGAUCACUUGAAAGCUUUGAAAAACUUAGAUACGGUGGAGUUCUGACCCCAAAUCCAAAUGGAUGGUGUCCUGCAAGAUUGUUUGAAAGGUCAGACAACUUG
RNAcentral lists this long non-coding RNA (214 nucleotides) under Jatropha curcas. RNAcentral describes it as "long non-coding RNA (JCUR_LNC003460)". The record is from RNAcentral. Lineage: Eukaryota; Viridiplantae; Streptophyta; Magnoliopsida; Malpighiales; Euphorbiaceae.